Molecule: non-coding RNA, 25 nt
Filed under: Rattus norvegicus (Norway rat)
Lineage: Eukaryota; Metazoa; Chordata; Mammalia; Rodentia; Muridae
Source: RNAcentral
UCCCCUAUGUGUGAUGCAUGGUGUC